UUUUUUUCCCCUGAUUUUAUACAAUGUUUUUACUUUUUUACAAUAAUAAUUAUUUGAUCAAAUAAUUAUAUAUAUCAAUAAUUAAUUUUUCUUACAAUAAUUAUUUUCCUUUUUUCCUCUUUUUCCUCUUUUUUUGUCUGCAUUUUUUUUCCUCACUUUUUUUCUGAUUUUUUUACAAUAUUUUUUCUUUUUUACAAUAAUAAUUAUUUGAUCAGUGACUUGUGAAAAAAAGGAGAAUGAAGUAGAACAGAGAGAUUUUGAAAUAUUUGAA
This 271-nucleotide long non-coding RNA is filed under the name Salvia miltiorrhiza (redroot sage). RNAcentral's name for it is "long non-coding RNA (SMIL_LNC003062)". The record is from RNAcentral. Lineage: Eukaryota; Viridiplantae; Streptophyta; Magnoliopsida; Lamiales; Lamiaceae.